CCUACGGGAGGCAGCAGUGAGGAAUAUUGGUCAAUGGGCGAGAGCCUGAACCAGCCAAGUCGCGUGAGGGAAGACGGUCCUAUGGAUUGUAAACCUCUUUUGUCGGGGAGCAAAAAGGCCUCGUGAGGCCACAAGUGAGAGUACCCGAAGAAAAAGCAUCGGCUAACUCCGUGCCAGCAGCCGCGGUAAUACGGAGGAUGCGAGCGUUAUCCGGAUUUAUUGGGUUUAAAGGGUGCGUAGGCGGACUGGAAAGUCAGCGGUAAAAUCGAGAGGCUCAACCUCUUUCCGCCGUUGAAACUGUCGGUCUUGAGUGGGCGAGAAGUAUGCGGAAUGCGUGGUGUAGCGGUGAAAUGCAUAGAUAUCACGCAGAACCCCGAUUGCGAAGGCAGCAUGCCGGCUUCCGACUGACGCUGAAGCACGAAAGCGUGGGGAUCGAACAGGAUUAGAUACCCCUGUAGUC
This 460-nucleotide ribosomal RNA is filed under the name uncultured bacterium. RNAcentral describes it as "partial 16S ribosomal RNA". It matches the Rfam family "Bacterial small subunit ribosomal RNA", at positions 338 to 795 of the family's 1533-position model. The record is from RNAcentral.